UACGUAGGUGGCAAGCGUUAUCCGGAUUCAUUGGGCGUAAAGCGCGCGUAGGUGGUCCUUCAAGUCAGAUGUGAAAUCUCCCGGCUUAACUGGGAGCGGUCAUCUGAUACUGCUGGACUUGAGGAUGGUAGAGGGAGGUGGAAUUCCCGGUGUAGUGGUGAAAUGCGUAGAUAUCGGGAGGAACACCAGUGGCGAAAGCGGCCUCCUAGGCCAUACCUGACACUGAGGCGCGAAAGCGUGGGGAGCGAACAGGAUCAGAUACC
RNAcentral lists this ribosomal RNA (263 nucleotides) under uncultured bacterium. Its description in RNAcentral is "partial 16S ribosomal RNA". It matches the Rfam family "Bacterial small subunit ribosomal RNA", at positions 524 to 786 of the family's 1533-position model. The record is from RNAcentral.